This 434-nucleotide ribosomal RNA is filed under the name uncultured bacterium. RNAcentral's name for it is "partial 16S ribosomal RNA". It matches the Rfam family "Bacterial small subunit ribosomal RNA", at positions 29 to 507 of the family's 1533-position model. The record is from RNAcentral.
AGCGAACGCUGGCGGCAGGCCUAACACAUGCAAGUCGAACGAACCCUUCGGGGUUAGUGGCGGACGGGUGAGUAACACGUGGGAACGUGCCCUUAGGUUCGGAAUAACUCAGGGAAAGUUGUGCUAAUACCGAAUGUGCUCUUCGGGGGAAAGAUUUAUCGCCUUUAGAAGGGCCCGCGUCUGAUUAGCUAGUUGGUUGAGGUAAUGGCUCACCAAGGCGACGAUCAGUAGCUGGGCUGAGAGGAUGAUCAGCCACAUUGGGACUGAGACACGGCCCAAACUCCUACGGGAGGCAGCAGUGGGGAAUCUUGCGCAAUGGGCGAAAGCCUGACGCAGCCAUGCCGCGUGAAUGAUGAAGGUCUUAGGAUUGUAAAAUUCUUUCACCCGGGACGAUAAUGACGGUACCCGGAGAAGAAGCCCCGGCUAACUUCGUG